CGCACAUUGCGCCCACCAGUAUUCUGAUGGGCAUGCCUGUUCGAGCGUCAUUUCAAACCCUUAAGCCUCCUGCUUAGUGUUGGGGACCGCUACAAAAAGCGCCCUCUAAAGAAAUUGGCGGAGUUGUUUAGGGCUCUCAGCGUAGUAAUUCUCUCGCUUUAGAGACCUGGUAGCGCCUGCCACAAGCCUAUUUUCUCAAGGUUUGACCUCGGAUCAGGUAGGAAUACCCGCUGAACUUAA
Molecule: unclassified non-coding RNA, 240 nt
Filed under: Lopadostoma polynesium
Lineage: Eukaryota; Fungi; Ascomycota; Sordariomycetes; Xylariales; Xylariaceae
Description: partial contains 5.8S ribosomal RNA, internal transcribed spacer 2, and large subunit ribosomal RNA
Source: RNAcentral